AGGCUGAGGCAGGAGAAUCAUUUGAACCCAGGCAGCAGAGGUUGCAAUGAGCCAAGAUCACACCACUGCACUCUAGCAGGUUGACAGAGUUAAGACUCCAUCUCAAAAACAAACAAAAAACCAUUUAUGAAGAAGGCUUAUGUGGAGAAAUUACAUUUCCCUCUAUCUUUAAAUUAUCUGCAAAUUACCUAAACUUUCAUAUUCAGCAUUAUUUCUAACUUUUUUUUUCCUUUUUGAGAUGGAGUCUCUCUCUGUCGCCCAGGCUGGAGUGCAGUGACAGAGCAAAGACUCCCUCUCAAA
Molecule: long non-coding RNA, 300 nt
Organism: Cebus imitator (Panamanian white-faced capuchin)
Lineage: Eukaryota; Metazoa; Chordata; Mammalia; Primates; Cebidae
Exons: 3
Source: RefSeq, a predicted model, not a curated record